CCCAUCAGCAACCAGACUCAACAUCUGGACAUCACUCACCUCUGUCACACAUGUGCAGCCGUUACAGCACUGGCUCCACAGACUCGUUCACAGUCUCCUUCAGUCUCUCUGAUAGUGCUGAUCUCUGCUGCUGCUGCUGUUGGAUCUCUGUUGAUUGUAGCUGUAGUCGGGAUCUUCUACAUCUACAGGAAAUUUAGAAAAACAGUUCAGACACAGGAUGAAGACAGAACUGAUCCAGCAUUGAGUAAACCAACAACAAUAAAAAAGAAAUCAAAGACGGAGGCUGUGUAUGAAAAUGUCCGCAAAAAACGAUGAUCAAAUACUGUAUCCACUGGAACAGAUGUUAAUACUGGACACUGACUCGCACAUUUUGACCACAUUUAUUACCUGAUAGGAUGUCUUUUGUUUUCACUCGUUGUAUCAUAUCUUUUGGUGUUAUUGUGAUGUGUGAAAUUAUGUUUUCAUUUAGUGGUUCCCCAAUAUCAUAACAUCCAGAAACUCAACUGAAAUGUUCUACUUUUAGUUUAUCAUAUGGAAGUUUACCUAACAUUCAUAAUUAAACGUUACUCACACACUUCACUGUGCCCCUUUGUCUGUCAUUUCCUGUUCUUGUUUUAUUCCUUUUAAGUUUAACUGGAUAACUGCAUUGCAUGCAGUAUCACACACGAUAUGAUCUGCUGGAUAUGUAGCAAAGAUACGACGUCUUGUACGUUGAAGAUUUUUCUUUCUUUGUUUUUUUUUUGUAUUAGUUAGGUUUAGUGUAUAAAUGGGUUAGAAAGUUUUUUUUGUUUUUUUUUUUGUUUUCUUUCAUUUGGCACAGUCUAGUAUUCCGUUGUUCUCCUCAGUUCUUAAAUAUUGUGAGUUUGCUAGUGUUUCUGUUUUGUUCUGUAAAAUUGUUUAUUAUUUUUCCUCUUCUCUUUCUUUGUAAAUAAUUUCAACUUUAUUACUUUAUGUAUACUUUGUAAUAAAUUACAAGUUCACUUGUAUUUCGUACUGCC
Long non-coding RNA from Megalobrama amblycephala (Wuchang bream), 998 nucleotides. RefSeq lists it as uncharacterized. The record is from RefSeq and is a predicted model, not a curated record. The transcript is spliced from 4 exons. Lineage: Eukaryota; Metazoa; Chordata; Actinopteri; Cypriniformes; Xenocyprididae.